UACGUAGGGUGCGAGCGUUAAUCGGAAUUACUGGGCGUAAAGCGUGCGCAGGCGGCUAUUUAAGCUUGCUGUGAAAGCCCCGGGCUUAACCUGGGAACUGCAGUGAGGACUGGAUGGCUAGAGUGUGGCAGAGGGGGGUGGAAUUCCACGUGUAGCAGUGAAAUGCGUAGAUAUCGGGAGGAACACCUGUGGCGAAAGCGGCGCACUGGACCACAACUGACGCUGAGGCGCGAAAGCCAGGGGAGCAAACGGG
This 253-nucleotide ribosomal RNA is filed under the name uncultured prokaryote. RNAcentral's name for it is "partial 16S ribosomal RNA". It matches the Rfam family "Bacterial small subunit ribosomal RNA", at positions 524 to 776 of the family's 1533-position model. The record is from RNAcentral.